GGGGAAAAAUUAAUAAAGUAUAAAUAAUAAAAAAAAUUUUUAAAAUUAAAAAUAAAUUAAUGGGGGUUAAAGUAUUUUUAAUAGAAAAAAUUAAAAAAUUUAUAGAAAAUUAGUAUUGUAAAAGAAAUUUGAAAAUAAAAUUAAUUUAAUUUAAAGAAAAUUUGAUUUAUUGUAUCUUGUGUAUCAGAGUUUAUUAAAUAAUUUUUAUUUAAAAAAAAAUCUCGAAUUUAAAAGAGUUAAUUAAUUAAAAAAGUUAAUGUUGAAUAAUUAUUUUAAAUAAUUAAUUAGAAAUUAAAUGUUAAUCGUUUUUAAAUAUAUCUAGUUAUUUUAGAAAAAAAUUUAAUUUAAAAUUUAAAUAAUUUAAAUAAUUUAAUAAUAAAAUUUUUAAAAUUUAAAUUUAAUAUAUUAAGGGAUAAGCUUUAAAUUAAAAAUUUAUAAUAAAAUAUGUAAAAUUAAAAUUUUUAAAAUUUAUAUUGUUUAAAAAUUUUAAUUUAUUAUAAAAAAUUUUAAUUAAUAUAAAAUUUAAUAAAAAAAAUUUAAAUUUAUAUAAAAUAAUAAUUUAAAAUAAUAAUAAAUUAGUAAUAAUGAUAAAAUUAGUAUAAAUAAAUAUAAAAAUAUAAAUAAAAAUUAAAAUUAAAUUUAAGGAAUUCGGCAAAAAUAAAUAUUCACUUGUUUAUCAAAAACAUGUCUUUUUGAUAAUAAUUUAAAGUCUAAUCUGCCCACUGAUAAAUAUUAAAGGGCUGCAGUAUUUUGACUGUACAAAGGUAGCAUAAUCAAUAGUUUUUUAAUUGAAAACUUGAAUGAAAGAUUUGAUGAAAUAUUAACUGUCUCAUAUAUUAUUAUUAAAAUUUUAUUUUUUAGUUAAAAAGCUAAAAUAAUUUUAAAAGACGAGAAGACCCUAUAGAGUUUUAUAUUUUUAUUUAUUAUGAAAUUAUAUUAAAAUUUAUAUUUAAAAUAAAUAAAAAUAUUAUAUUGGGGUGAUAAAAAAAUAAAAUUAACUUUUUAAAUAUAAAAUAUAAAUAAGUAGAUAAUUGAUCCAUUAUUAAUGAUUAAAAGAAAAAAUUACCUUAGGGAUAACAGCGUAAUAUUUUUUUUUAGUUCAAAUAAAAAAAAAAGUUUGCGACCUCGAUGUUGGAUUAAGAUAAAAUUUAAAUGUAGAAGUUUAAAAUUUUGAUCUGUUCGAUCAUUAAAAUCUUACAUGAUCUGAGUUCAAACCGGUGUAAGCCAGGUUGGUUUCUAUCUUUAAAAAAUAAAAAUAUUUUAGUACGAAAGGAUCAAAUAUUUAAAAUAAUUUUAAAUAAAGAAUAUUAUUAAUUAUUUAUAAAA
This 1326-nucleotide ribosomal RNA is filed under the name Ypthima akragas. RNAcentral describes it as "16S ribosomal RNA". Lineage: Eukaryota; Metazoa; Arthropoda; Insecta; Lepidoptera; Nymphalidae. The record is from RNAcentral.